This is a long non-coding RNA of Perca fluviatilis (European perch), 1316 nucleotides long. RefSeq lists it as uncharacterized. The transcript has 5 exons. The record is from RefSeq and is a predicted model, not a curated record. NCBI's taxonomy places the organism in Eukaryota, Metazoa, Chordata, Actinopteri, Perciformes, Percidae.
GAUACCACCUCAUAGCAAUGUCACAAUAACUUCUCUGUCAAGCAGGUAUAGGCGACGGAAGAGAUCUAAGGCCUAGAUAUCAGGACAAGAUGGUGACACGUGUGUCAGGUACGCACUCUUUUUCCAACAAACUAACCUUGAUCGCCAUCUCUGCUCCGUGGGUGCCGCUGGGUUCGGGUUGCCUGUCCAAGUUCCUGAGGCCUGUCUCGCGGGGGAGUCUAUUGAUUCGCCGGGACUACACCUGAGUGAAGCCGCCAUUGCACCGGCAGAUCGACGGCGAGACCAGCAAUGUGCCACGGUGGGUAUUCCAGCAGAGACUACGUCUAACAGCUGCAUCGCAGAAUCACCAAAUUCUAGAUCUAACUGUUCUCCGUUCUCAAAAAAUAAAGGUGACAAACACUUCAGUUUAAGAGGGAGUUACUCCUAUUUAAACUCUGAAUAAUCAAUAAAUCCAUUCACACCGACUAUGGAACUAUCAACAAACUCAUCCAAGCCGUCACCGGACCAAACGGCGUGCACUGUAAAAAAGAAGGCCGUAAGACUUGCAAUAUCAACACCAAAUCAAACAAUAUGCACUGUACAGUCAAAAAUUCUAAAUGUCGCAAUUGCUAAAAACAGGUGUGGGAAACCAGCUGAUAUGUGCAUGCGGUCAUGUGACCGGUUGCCAAUCAGGAAGUCAUAAAAAGCUCACCAGGUGUAGUCAUUAGUCCCCUUGCAUCUCACUGAGCGCACUGCGAUUGUGUGGAUUCUCCAGGUUGAUAGCCAGGCACAAGUUCCCGUCCUUCACAGAGUGAACUGGGGCAAACGGACGUUUACCACUGACAAAUGAGCUGCUGUGGCUGUAGAGCUCCGGAAAAUACUCCUCCUCCCGCAUUAACUGUGCUAUAGGAGUUUGUGUCCUUGCAAACUUGAUCCUGUACAAGGCUGGGUCCGUGUCGACACACUGCCUCCUCGUGGUGAGACUACACUGGGUGACACUCUGUUACGGUGUGUAUGUAGCCUCGACACUGUAGAUUUUGUAGUGACUUGCAUGAUAUUUUGUAGUGACUUGCAUGAUAUUUUGUAGUGAUUUGCAUGAUACUUUGUAGUGAAUCGUGUAGAAAUAAGUGUGUAGUGCAUGUCCUUGUCGGUGCUGGGCCUUCUGUCUCCUCUUUCUGUCUCCCGCAGUCGUCUCCCGGAGUGGUGUGCGCGUGCCGACCCGACCUUCCUACUUUGAGGAGAGUAAGACCACAUGUAUCUGCCAUCUAAUUUAUUGUUUUAUUAUUCUGUCAAAUUGCCAUUUUAAUUGGAAAUCUUUUAAACUCUUUGUAAUAAAA